RNAcentral lists this ribosomal RNA (2139 nucleotides) under Klebsiella pasteurii. Its description in RNAcentral is "partial 23S ribosomal RNA". It matches the Rfam family "Bacterial large subunit ribosomal RNA", at positions 1 to 2162 of the family's 2925-position model. Lineage: Bacteria; Pseudomonadati; Pseudomonadota; Gammaproteobacteria; Enterobacterales; Enterobacteriaceae. The record is from RNAcentral.
GGUUAAGCGACUAAGCGUACACGGUGGAUGCCCUGGCAGUCAGAGGCGAUGAAGGACGUGCUAAUCUGCGAAAAGCGUCGGUAAGGUGAUAUGAACCGUUACAGCCGGCGAUGUCCGAAUGGGGAAACCCAGUGCAAUUCGUUGCACUAUCGUUUGAUGAAUACAUAGUCAAACGAGGCGAACCGGGGGAACUGAAACAUCUAAGUACCCCGAGGAAAAGAAAUCAACCGAGAUUCCCCCAGUAGCGGCGAGCGAACGGGGAGCAGCCCGGAGUCUGAAUCAGCUUGUGUGUUAGUGGAAGCGUCUGGAAAGUCGCAGGGUACAGGGUGAUACUCCCGUACACUAAAACACACAGGUUGUGAACUCGAAGAGUAGGGCGGGACACGUGGUAUCCUGUCUGAAUAUGGGGGGACCAUCCUCCAAGGCUAAAUACUCCUGACUGACCGAUAGUGAACCAGUACCGUGAGGGAAAGGCGAAAAGAACCCCGGCGAGGGGAGUGAAAAAGAACCUGAAACCGUGUACGUACAAGCAGUAGGAGCCCACUUGUUGGGUGACUGCGUACCUUUUGUAUAAUGGGUCAGCGACUUAUAUUCUGUAGCAAGGUUAACCGUAUAGGGGAGCCGCAGGGAAACCGAGUCUUAACUGGGCGUUAAGUUGCAGGGUAUAGACCCGAAACCCGGUGAUCUAGCCAUGGGCAGGUUGAAGGUUGGGUAACACUAACUGGAGGACCGAACCGACUAAUGUUGAAAAAUUAGCGGAUGACUUGUGGCUGGGGGUGAAAGGCCAAUCAAACCGGGAGAUAGCUGGUUCUCCCCGAAAGCUAUUUAGGUAGCGCCUCGUGAAUUCAUCUUCGGGGGUAGAGCACUGUUUCGGCUAGGGGGUCAUCCCGACUUACCAACCCGAUGCAAACUACGAAUACCGAAGAAUGUUAUCACGGGAGACACACGGCGGGUGCUAACGUCCGUCGUGAAGAGGGAAACAACCCAGACCGCCAGCUAAGGUCCCAAAGUCAUGGUUAAGUGGGAAACGAUGUGGGAAGGCCCAGACAGCCAGGAUGUUGGCUUAGAAGCAGCCAUCAUUUAAAGAAAGCGUAAUAGCUCACUGGUCGAGUCGGCCUGCGCGGAAGAUGUAACGGGGCUAAACCAUGCACCGAAGCUGCGGCAGCGACGCUUAUGCGUUGUUGGGUAGGGGAGCGUUCUGUAAGCCGUUGAAGGUGGCCUGUGAGGGUUGCUGGAGGUAUCAGAAGUGCGAAUGCUGACAUAAGUAACGAUAAUGCGGGUGAAAAACCCGCACGCCGGAAGACCAAGGGUUCCUGUCCAACGUUAAUCGGGGCAGGGUGAGUCGACCCCUAAGGCGAGGCCGAAAGGCGUAGUCGAUGGGAAACAGGUUAAUAUUCCUGUACUUGGUGUUACUGCGAAGGGGGGACGGAGAAGGCUAUGUUGGCCGGGCGACGGUUGUCCCGGUUUAAGCGUGUAGGUGUGUGUUCCAGGUAAAUCCGGUUCACUUUAACACUGAGGCGUGAUGACGAGGCACUACGGUGCUGAAGUGACAAAUGCCCUGCUUCCAGGAAAAGCCUCUAAGCAUCAGGUAACAUCAAAUCGUACCCCAAACCGACACAGGUGGUCAGGUAGAGAAUACCAAGGCGCUUGAGAGAACUCGGGUGAAGGAACUAGGCAAAAUGGUGCCGUAACUUCGGGAGAAGGCACGCUGAUAUGUAGGUGAAGUGGUUUACCCAUGGAGCUGAAAUCAGUCGAAGAUACCAGCUGGCUGCAACUGUUUAUUAAAAACACAGCACUGUGCAAACACGAAAGUGGACGUAUACGGUGUGACGCCUGCCCGGUGCCGGAAGGUUAAUUGAUGGGGUUAUCCGUAAGGAGAAGCUCUUGAUCGAAGCCCCGGUAAACGGCGGCCGUAACUAUAACGGUCCUAAGGUAGCGAAAUUCCUUGUCGGGUAAGUUCCGACCUGCACGAAUGGCGUAAUGAUGGCCAGGCUGUCUCCACCCGAGACUCAGUGAAAUUGAACUCGCUGUGAAGAUGCAGUGUACCCGCGGCAAGACGGAAAGACCCCGUGAACCUUUACUAUAGCUUGACACUGAACACUGGUCCUUGAUGUGUAGGAUAGGUGGGAGGCUUUGAAG